RNAcentral lists this ribosomal RNA (205 nucleotides) under uncultured bacterium. RNAcentral's name for it is "partial 16S ribosomal RNA". It matches the Rfam family "Bacterial small subunit ribosomal RNA", at positions 568 to 774 of the family's 1533-position model. The record is from RNAcentral.
CGCGUAGGCGGUGGUGCAAGUUGCUGGUCAAAGGCCAAGGCUCAACCUUGGAUUGCUGGCAAGACUGCAUCACUAGAGGAUUGCAGGGGGAAUCGGAAUUCUCGGUGUAGCAGUGAAAUGCGUAGAUAUCGAGAGGAACAUCAGUGGCGAAGGCGGAUUCCUGGGCAAUUCCAGAGCUGAGGCGCGAAAGCCAAGGUAGCAAACG